This 484-nucleotide ribosomal RNA is filed under the name uncultured bacterium. RNAcentral describes it as "partial 16S ribosomal RNA". It matches the Rfam family "Bacterial small subunit ribosomal RNA", at positions 28 to 523 of the family's 1533-position model. The record is from RNAcentral.
GAUGAACGCUGGCGGCGUGCUUAACACAUGCAAGUCGAACGAUGAAGGAGGAGCUUGCUCCUCUGGAUUAGUGGCGAACGGGUGAGUAACACGUGAGCAAUCUGCCCUUGACUCUGGGAUAAGCGUUGGAAACGACGUCUAAUACCGGAUACGAGCCGAGCAGGCAUCUGCAUCGGUUGGAAAGAACUUCGGUCAGGGAUGAGCUCGCGGCCUAUCAGCUAGUUGGUGAGGUAAUGGCUCACCAAGGCGACGACGGGUAGCCGGCCUGAGAGGGUGACCGGCCACACUGGGACUGAGACACGGCCCAGACUCCUACGGGAGGCAGCAGUGGGGAAUAUUGCACAAUGGGCGCAAGCCUGAUGCAGCAACGCCGCGUGAGGGACGACGGCCUUCGGGUUGUAAACCUCUUUUAGCAGGGAAGAAGCGAGAGUGACGGUACCUGCAGAAAAAGCACCGGCUAACUACGUGCCAGCCGCCGCCGUAA